AUUGAACGCUGGCGGCAGGCCUAACACAUGCAAGUCGAACGGUAACAGGAAACAGCCUGCUGUUUCGCUGACGAGUGGCGGACGGGUGAGUAAUGUCUGGGAAACUGCCUGAUGGAGGGGGAUAACUACUGGAAACGGUAGCUAAUACCGCAUAACGUCGCAAGACCAAAGAGGGGGACCUUCGGGCCUCUUGCCAUCGGAUGUGCCCAGAUGGGAUUAGCUAGUAGGUGGGGUAACGGCUCACCUAGGCGACGAUCCCUAGCUGGUCUGAGAGGAUGACCAGCCACACUGGAACUGAGACACGGUCCAGACUCCUACGGGAGGCAGCAGUGGGGAAUAUUGCACAAUGGGCGCAAGCCUGAUGCAGCCAUGCCGCGUGUAUGAAGAAGGCCUUCGGGUUGUAAAGUACUUUCAGCGGGGAUGAAGGGAGUAAAGUUAAUACCUUUGCUCAUUGACGUUACCCGCAGAAGAAGCACCGGCUAACUCCGUG
This 490-nucleotide ribosomal RNA is filed under the name uncultured bacterium. RNAcentral's name for it is "partial 16S ribosomal RNA". It matches the Rfam family "Bacterial small subunit ribosomal RNA", at positions 30 to 507 of the family's 1533-position model. The record is from RNAcentral.